Molecule: long non-coding RNA, 369 nt
Organism: Musca domestica (house fly)
Lineage: Eukaryota; Metazoa; Arthropoda; Insecta; Diptera; Muscidae
Exons: 2
Source: RefSeq, a predicted model, not a curated record
UAAGAAUUUUCGAUUGUCUUUUAAUUGAUUAUUGAGUGUUAACAAAUGCAUAUUGGUAUAUAAAGUACCCAAAAUUUCACAUCAGACAUCAUCAGUUAAAUACCUGCUGAAACGCUUAAAUUUAUCAUGAAAUUCACCAACGUUUUCGUUAUUGCCGCUGCAAUGAUUUUCGCCAUUAGCUCGGCUGAAGCUAGGCCCGAACCAAAACCCGAACCAUUGCCCGAGCCUAUCUUGAAUGUUGUUACUGGUUUAUUGAGCAAUAUUUUGGGUGGUAGAUAAGGGGCAUAUAUAGCUGGACAUUGAUGGCUGAUGAUAAAAAAAAUGUAAUAAAUAUUAACAUUAAAUAAAAAAACGGCAAAUUGAUUUUUA